This 505-nucleotide ribosomal RNA is filed under the name uncultured bacterium. Its description in RNAcentral is "bacterial SSU rRNA". It matches the Rfam family "Bacterial small subunit ribosomal RNA", at positions 33 to 518 of the family's 1533-position model. The record is from RNAcentral.
GACGACGCUGGCGGCGUGCUUAACACAUGCAAGUCGAGCGAGAAAGCGGCUUCGGCCGUGAGUACAGCGGCGAACGGGUGAGUAACACGUGGGCAACCUGCCCUGGAGACUGGGAUAACGCCCCGAAAGGGGGCGCUAAUACCGGAUGACGCGCGACCUGCCAAGUGGGUCGCGCCAAAUGGUAGCUUCGGCUUCUGCUCUGGGAUGGGCCCGCGCCGGAUUAGCUUGUUGGUGAGGUAACGGCUCACCAAGGCUACGAUCCGUAGCUGGUCUGAGAGGACGAUCAGCCACACUGGGACUGAGACACGGCCCAGACUCCUACGGGAGGCAGCAGUGGGGAAUCUUGCGCAAUGGGCGAAAGCCUGACGCAGCAACGCCGCGUGAGUUGAAGACGGCCUUCGGGUUGUAAAGCUCUGUCAGGAGGGACGAAGCCACUCAGGUGAAUAGCCGAGAGGGUGACGGUACCUCCAGAGGAAGCCCCGGCUAACUACGUGCCAGCCGCAGC